CUCUCUCCUUCCACUAAAUUCACUCAACCUCACAACUCACAGACUAUAUCUCAUUUCCUCUCUUAUCUCUCUCAUGCAGCGUUUCCUUUCCCUGCACUCUGUUCUUCCUCUCGGACAACCCAGGCAACCAUCUCUUAUCACCACCAACACUGCCCAAACUCUUCCAAAAACUUCCUAGGACUCUCUGCAACUCGUCCUCAACCUUUGGUUGCAAGAAAACCCAUAGGAAGACAAGGUCCACUCUUCGAGGAUCGACGAACGCCGACGAAACCUUCACUCCUCUGACCAUGUUCGUAGGAUUCCCAAGCAAAAUCCGGACAAACCCCGUUGGUUUAGUUGAGUUGAAGGCACAUGACGAUUUCCCUUGACCCCUAGACCACGGGUUUGAGCUUGCAUGCUCGAAUCCACUUCGAAACCGAUGAAAACGAAGAACUCCAACUCGGGCAGUCACUUUCAGGGCAUUUUCCAACGAGCUCCGGCCAUCUUUUGACCUUAAAAUAGGAGAGGACCAUCCAGAGGAGUACCGCAUGCAAAAUAGUUGGACGAUUUAUGACCUACAUGUAUUUGUGAGUAGGUCUUUUCGUUUAUAUAUAUAUAUAUGUGAUUUUUCCUAACAACUGCUUUUAUAUAUUAUGAUGUGAUAUGUGAUGUUUAGCUUUACAAAUAGACUUUUCGUACAUAUUAUUUGUGAGCAUAAACUUCUGGCAUGAUAUUUUUGCAUUUUAUCUGCCCAUUAU
This is a long non-coding RNA of Pyrus x bretschneideri (Chinese white pear), 737 nucleotides long. RefSeq lists it as uncharacterized. The record is from RefSeq and is a predicted model, not a curated record. Lineage: Eukaryota; Viridiplantae; Streptophyta; Magnoliopsida; Rosales; Rosaceae. The transcript has 3 exons.